This 507-nucleotide ribosomal RNA is filed under the name uncultured bacterium. RNAcentral describes it as "partial 16S ribosomal RNA". It matches the Rfam family "Bacterial small subunit ribosomal RNA", at positions 899 to 1397 of the family's 1533-position model. The record is from RNAcentral.
ACUCAAAGGAAUAGACGGGGACCCGCACAAGCGGUGGAUUAUGUGGUUUAAUUCGAAGCAACGCGCAGAACCUCACCUGGGUUUGACAUCCAGAGAAAAGCAGCAGAGAUGUUGCCUUGAGCUAUAGCAAUAUAGCUCCUCUGAGACAGGUGCUGCAUGGCUGUCGUCAGCUCGUGUUGUGAAAUAUUGGGUUAAGUCCCGCAACGAGCGCAACCCCUAUUCUUAGUUGCCAGCAUUAAGUUGGGCACUCUAGGAAGACUGCCUGCGUUAAGCAGGAGGAAGGUGGGGAUGACGUCAAGUCCUCAUGGCCUUUAUGCCCAGGGCUACACACGUAAUACAAUGGUAGGUACAGAACGUCGCGAAGCCGUAAGGUGAAGCUAAUCGUCAAAAACCUAUCUCAGUUCGGAUUGAAGUCUGCAACUCGACUUCAUGAAGUUGGAAUCGCUAGUAAUCGCGGAUAAGUACGCCGCGGUGAAUACGUUCCCGGGUCUUGCACACACCGCCCGU